GUUGAAAAAAUGAUGGGGGGCCAUACAGUUAGGGGGUCCCACCAUUCUAACCAGCAGCUGUAAAGGCAAUGCCACAAUCCAAGAUGGCCCUUCUUGCCUCCGUAGCUGUUACUAUUGGCAGUGAGUCGGUGUGGCUGGGAAACAGGAAGUCAUGUGAUUCAUGUCAGCGGCUGCACUUCCUGUUUGUAUCUAUAUCACAGCCCUUGGGGACCUGCUGCCGCUGCUCUGGAACGCUGACCAAUAGCGUGAGAGAUAAGCGUGAAACUGCCCCUCCCCUGCCGGCUAGAGAGCAUGCUGGGAGUUGCAGUUCACACUCACUAAUCCCUACAAUGGUGGUUGUGAUACUUCAUAUACUCCUUAUUAUCGGGGGGGUAGGGGGGGGGGUGUUGUUACGACAGAGGCCCUGGGAGCAGCGUCAUGAGACGUUAAUCCCGCCCCGCCCUCCGUCAGUAUUUAUAUUAAUAGAGAGGCGGGGCCCGGGCCGAACAAAGCCGGGAGCAGGUGUCUCCCCGAAUCUCUACUGAGCCCAUUAACCUAUUCAUUGCCUGCGGCCCCCCUGUCUCCUCAUUCUGAGCAACUGCCCUCCUGCGGGGCAGCCACUGGGAAUGUAUGUACCUCACCAACAGCUUAUACUUUAAUUACCCCAGAGAGUUGGGUCUGUGCUAGGAACAAAUACCCCAGGCAGGUAGGGCUGUGCUAGGAACAAAUACCCCAGGCAGGUAGGGCUGUGCUAGGAAUAAAUACCCCAGGCAGGUAGGGCUGUGCUAGGAACAAAUACCACAGGCAGGUAGGGCUGUGCUAGGAACAAAUACCCCAGGCAGGUAGGGCUGUGCUAGGAACAAAUACCACAGGCAGGUAGGGCUGUGCUAGGAACAAAUACCCCAGGCAGGUAGGGCUGAGCUUGUAAUAAAUACCCCAGGCAGGUAGGUCUGAGCUUGUAACAAAUACCCCAGGCAGGUAGUUCUGUGCUAGGAACAAAUACCCCAGGCAGGUAGGUCUGUGCUAGGAACAAAUACCCCAGGCAGGUAGGGCUGUGCUAGGAACAAAUACCCCAGGCAGGUAGGUCUGUGCUAGGAACAAAUACCCCAGGCAGGUAGGGCUGUGCUAGGAACAAAUACCCCAGGCAGGUAGGUCUGUGCUAGGAACAAAUACCCCAGGCAGGUAGGGCUGUGCAAGGAACAAAUACCCCAGAGAGUUGGGUCUGUGCUAGGAACAAAUACCCCAGAGAGUUGGGUCUGUGCUAGGAACAAAUACCCCAGGCAGGUAGGGCUGUGCUAGGAACAAAUACCCCAGAGAGUUGGGUCUGUGCUAGGAACAAAUACCCCAGGAAGGUAGGGCUGUGCUAAGAACAAAUACCCCAGGCAGGUAGGGCUGUGC
This is a long non-coding RNA of Xenopus tropicalis (tropical clawed frog), 1377 nucleotides long. RefSeq lists it as uncharacterized. The transcript is spliced from 2 exons. The record is from RefSeq and is a predicted model, not a curated record. Lineage: Eukaryota; Metazoa; Chordata; Amphibia; Anura; Pipidae.